This 126-nucleotide non-coding RNA is filed under the name Anoxynatronum buryatiense. The record is from RNAcentral. Lineage: Bacteria; Bacillati; Bacillota; Clostridia; Eubacteriales; Clostridiaceae.
CAACGGGUGAAAGUCCAGUCUGAGUUAGUAUCAAGAUGUUCAGUAGCUGCUAACAGGCAACUGGUGGAGAAAUCCUAAGAUUAAAGCCCUGUGACAAAGCACCGGUGAAUCGGGCGAGCAACCCAA